GAACAUGUUGCUCAUGGCUGGUUAUUCUCUUUUCAGAGCGAUGAACUUGGCAGUAAAAUCAGUAGAGGCAUUUAAGGACAUCUGUGACAGGUGACUGGUGACCCCUGAGAUAGCAGAACAGAGACCUUCUAUGGCAAGGAACUUAACUUUUGAAAACCAGUUUGAAAAAGGCACUAAACAAAUGGACAACUUCAGUCUUAAAGAUCAAUGACAGCAUAUCCUGGGGAAGGAAGAGAAUCUGAUUCCUUGAUUUACCACAUUAUAAUAUCCCAACUAUCCAGUUUUCAAAAAUAAAUUGACAGAAACUCCUGA
Molecule: long non-coding RNA, 312 nt
Organism: Panthera uncia (snow leopard)
Lineage: Eukaryota; Metazoa; Chordata; Mammalia; Carnivora; Felidae
Exons: 2
Source: RefSeq, a predicted model, not a curated record